UACGUAGGGGGCAAGCGUUGUCCGGAUUUAUUGGGCGUAAAGAGCGUGUAGGCGGCCAUACAGGUCCGUUGUGAAAACUGGAGGCUUAACCUCCAGACGUCGAUGGAAACCGUAUGGCUAGAGUCCGGAAGAGGAGAGUGGAAUUCCUGGUGUAGCGGUGAAAUGCGCAGAUAUCAGGAGGAACACCGAUGGCGAAGGCAGGUCUCUGGGCCGAUACUGACGCUGAGGAGCGAAAGCGUGGGGAGCGAACAGG
RNAcentral lists this ribosomal RNA (253 nucleotides) under uncultured bacterium. RNAcentral's name for it is "partial 16S ribosomal RNA". It matches the Rfam family "Bacterial small subunit ribosomal RNA", at positions 524 to 776 of the family's 1533-position model. The record is from RNAcentral.